GAUUAAGUUAUUAAGGGCGCACGGUGGAUGCCUUGGCACUAGAAGCCGAUGAAGGACGUUACUAACGACGAUAUGCUUUGGGGAGCUGUAAGUAAGCUUUGAUCCAGAGAUUUCCGAAUGGGGAAACCCAGCAUGAGUUAUGUCAUGUUAUCGAUAUGUGAAUACAUAGCAUAUCAGAAGGCAUACCCGGAGAACUGAAACAUCUUAGUACCCGGAGGAAGAGAAAGAAAAUUCGAUUCCCUUAGUAGCGGCGAGCGAAACGGGAAGAGCCCAAACCAACAAGCUUGCUUGUUGGGGUUGUAGGACACUCUAUACGGAGUUACAAAGGACGACAUUAGACGAAUCAUCUGGAAAGAUGAAUCAAAGAAGGUAAUAAUCCUGUAGUCGAAAAUGUUGUCUCUCUUGAGUGGAUCCUGAGUACGACGGAGCACGUGAAAUUCCGUCGGAAUCUGGGAGGACCAUCUCCUAAGGCUAAAUACUCUCUAGUGACCGAUAGUGAACCAGUACCGUGAGGGAAAGGUGAAAAGCACCCCGGAAGGGGAGUGAAAUAGAACCUGAAACCGUGUGCUUACAAGUAGUCAGAGCCCGUUAAUGGGUGAUGGCGUGCCUUUUGUAGAAUGAACCGGCGAGUUACGAUUUGAUGCAAGGUUAAGCAGUAAAUGUGGAGCCGUAGCGAAAGCGAGUCUGAAUAGGGCGUUUAGUAUUUGGUCGUAGACCCGAAACCAGGUGAUCUACCCUUGGUCAGGUUGAAGUUCAGGUAACACUGAAUGGAGGACCGAACCGACUUACGUUGAAAAGUGAGCGGAUGAACUGAGGGUAGCGGAGAAAUUCCAAUCGAACCUGGAGAUAGCUGGUUCUCUCCGAAAUAGCUUUAGGGCUAGCCUCAAGUGAUGAUUAUUGGAGGUAGAGCACUGUUUGGACGAGGGGCCCCUCUCGGGUUACCGAAUUCAGACAAACUCCGAAUGCCAAUUAAUUUAACUUGGGAGUCAGAACAUGGGUGAUAAGGUCCGUGUUCGAAAGGGAAACAGCCCAGACCACCAGCUAAGGUCCCAAAAUAUAUGUUAAGUGGAAAAGGAUGUGGCGUUGCCCAGACAACUAGGAUGUUGGCUUAGAAGCAGCCAUCAUUUAAAGAGUGCGUAAUAGCUCACUAGUCGAGUGACACUGCGCCGAAAAUGUACCGGGGCUAAACAUAUUACCGAAGCUGUGGAUUGUCCUUUGGACAAUGGUAGGAGAGCGUUCUAAGGGCGUUGAAGCAUGAUCGUAAGGACAUGUGGAGCGCUUAGAAGUGAGAAUGCCGGUGUGAGUAGCGAAAGACGGGUGAGAAUCCCGUCCACCGAUUGACUAAGGUUUCCAGAGGAAGGCUCGUCCGCUCUGGGUUAGUCGGGUCCUAAGCUGAGGCCGACAGGCGUAGGCGAUGGAUAACAGGUUGAUAUUCCUGUACCACCUAUAAUCGUUUUAAUCGAUGGGGGGACGCAGUAGGAUAGGCGAAGCGUGCGAUUGGAUUGCACGUCUAAGCAGUAAGGCUGAGUAUUAGGCAAAUCCGGUACUCGUUAAGGCUGAGCUGUGAUGGGGAGAAGACAUUGUGUCUUCGAGUCGUUGAUUUCACACUGCCGAGAAAAGCCUCUAGAUAGAAAAUAGGUGCCCGUACCGCAAACCGACACAGGUAGUCAAGAUGAGAAUUCUAAGGUGAGCGAGCGAACUCUCGUUAAGGAACUCGGCAAAAUGACCCCGUAACUUCGGGAGAAGGGGUGCUCUUUAGGGUUAACGCCCAGAAGAGCCGCAGUGAAUAGGCCCAAGCGACUGUUUAUCAAAAACACAGGUCUCUGCUAAACCGUAAGGUGAUGUAUAGGGGCUGACGCCUGCCCGGUGCUGGAAGGUUAAGAGGAGUGGUUAGCUUCUGCGAAGCUACGAAUCGAAGCCCCAGUAAACGGCGGCCGUAACUAUAACGGUCCUAAGGUAGCGAAAUUCCUUGUCGGGUAAGUUCCGACCCGCACGAAAGGCGUAACGAUUUGGGCACUGUCUCAACGAGAGACUCGGUGAAAUCAUAGUACCUGUGAAGAUGCAGGUUACCCGCGACAGGACGGAAAGACCCCGUGGAGCUUUACUGUAGCCUGAUAUUGAAAUUCGGCACAGCUUGUACAGGAUAGGUAGGAGCCUUUGAAACGUGAGCGCUAGCUUACGUGGAGGCGCUGGUGGG
RNAcentral lists this ribosomal RNA (2197 nucleotides) under Staphylococcus aureus. RNAcentral's name for it is "partial 23S ribosomal RNA". It matches the Rfam family "Bacterial large subunit ribosomal RNA", at positions 1 to 2196 of the family's 2925-position model. Lineage: Bacteria; Bacillati; Bacillota; Bacilli; Caryophanales; Staphylococcaceae. The record is from RNAcentral.